Molecule: ribosomal RNA, 499 nt
Filed under: uncultured bacterium
Lineage: Bacteria
Description: partial 16S ribosomal RNA
Rfam family: Bacterial small subunit ribosomal RNA
Source: RNAcentral
ACUCAAAUGAAUUGACGGGGGCCCGCACAAGCGGUGGAGCAUGUGGUUUAAUUCGAUGCAACGCGAAGAACCUUACCUGCCCUUGACAUCCACGGGAUUUUGCAGAGAUGCGAAAGUGCCGAAAGGAACCGUGAGACAGGUGCUGCAUGGCUGUCGUCAGCUCGUGUUGUGAGAUGUUGGGUUAAGUCCCGUAACGAGCGCAACCCUUGCCCCUAGUUACCAGCGCGUAAAGGCGGGGACUCUAGGGGGACCGCCGGUGAUGAACCGGAGGAAGGCGGGGACGACGUCAAGUCAUCAUGGCCUUUAUGGGCAGGGCCACACACGUGCUACAAUGGGCGGUACAGAGGGCGGCCAACCCGCAAGGGGGAGCCAAUCCCAGAAAGCCGUUCGUAGUCCGGAUUGGGGUCUGCAACUCGACCCCAUGAAGUCGGAAUCGCUAGUAAUCGCGAAUCAGAAUGUCGCGGUGAAUACGUUCCCGGGCCUUGCACACACCGCCCGU